GACAGGUUGGUGGCCCUGGGUAACUUGACUCACAGCUGAGGGAGAUAAACAAAGCCUCAGGUACGGUCUGUUCCAGCUGAGGUGAAGAUGAACCUCCAGACCUUUAUAUUUUUUGUCCUGUUAUCCUACACACACGCCAAAUUUAGCUUCACUGAUCCGUUUGAGAGUUGUGAGACAAACGCUUUUCCACCCAAACAGAGUGAUGCUGCCCCUCGCUACAUCAUCAACCUUGAUCUCCCGCCUCAAGAAAGAUGGACUAAACUGGUGACAGAGAAGAAGAAUGAUGUGUUGGCCCUCAUAGGUGAUAUUCGAAAUCUGACCCUGUCACUGGUUGGUGAGAAAGUCUUCAAAGUCAUCAUUGAUAAUCUGGACAAGAUUGCCACAACUCUGCCUUAUCCUUUCAAUGAGGAAAUUAUAGGGAUUUCUAAGGCUUCAGGACUUAAUAUAUCGGAAGCUACACUCUACAACAUUUUCUACGAAGUGUUUACAUUCUGUACCUCCAUCGUUGCUCAGGAUACAUCAGGACACCUCUACCACGGCCGCAACCUUGACUUUGGACUGUUUAUGGGUUGGAAUCCAAAAACACACACCUGGACAAUUGCAGAGUUACUGAAGCCCUUGGUGGUGCAGCUGGAGUGGCAGAAGGGGGGAAAGACGGUGUAUGAGUCAGUCAAUUACGUUGGAUAUGUUGGCAUUAUUACAGCUGUCAAAAAAGGCCUCUUCACAUUUAGCCUGGAUGAACGUUUUGGUCUCAAUGGUGGUUUUGUUGGUCUGUUAGAGUGGAUCAUCUUUAAAGAUUAUAAACAGAAGUGGGUAUCGUUCCUUACUCGUGAAGUCAUGGAAGAAGCCAAGACUUACAAAGAAGCCAAAUUCAUGCUCUCUCACACACGACUACUGGCUCCUGUCUAUUUCAUCCUUGGUGGAGUUAAGUCUGGGGAGGGUUCAAUCAUCACUCGGUGGCGGGACAAUUUCCAUACCGACGACCUUCUGGAUCGAAUGUCUGGCUCGGGGUCCUGGUUCCUCGUUGAAACAAACUACGACCAGUGGAAGACGCCGCCUUUUUUUGAUGACCGCAGAACUCCUGCCGUACAUUGCCUGAACAAAGGAGGACAGAAAAAUGCUUCACCAAAAUUGUUAUACAAUGUUCUUUCAACAAGGCCAGUGCUUAACAAGCUGACAACUUACACAAGCUUGAUGGAUGUAAACCGGGGAACUUUAGGUGCUUGGCUUCGUAAAUGUGAAGAUCCGUGUUGGCCUUGGUAGAGCACCGCCUGUGGAAAUAGACCAUCCUUCAGUUGUGUUUUUGAUCACUAGCAAACAAGAUUCAUUUCUCCGAGUAUCGAUAAAUCCUCGAUAAUUUUGUUUAGUGGACACGAGCGAAGUGGGGCCUUAAAGAUGACUGAUUUGACUUCACUGAACGAUGCUGAAUUAUCCCUUGGAACCUCAUAACAUUGUUGCUCAGAAUAUGCCAUUGGUAGGUAAUGAACCGAGAACUCCAUUAAUUGAGUUGAUCAAUUUAUUUGGUGUUUGUGCUCCUUAUAUUGGUGAGUGUGCAAGGGUUUUACAGUCCUUCCCUUCAGAUAGGAAUUAAACAUUGGUCCCUUUACUUGUGAGGCUGACAAAGAAGUCUUCAAAAUGUCAAUAAAUGUCACGGAUUAGAUAAGGAAGGUAACGGUAUUCACAAUAUAGUCUUAAGUCUAAUGAGGUUCCUUGGAUAUUUAACUCAAUGUCUUUUUUUUUUAUUCUUUUUUUUCCAGAUGAUUUAAGGAUGACAAGAUCAGUAUUGUUAUGAAGGUAAUCCUCUUUAUUUGCUAUUUUAUAAAACUUUGUAGAGGAAUGCUAGUAAAUACAGUACUGACAUAAACCCCCUUGAGGGAAUAAAGAAAAUAUGUUCUGUUUCUAAGUAUGGAAUGAGUGAUUACAUUACCCACUCAUGCAUACACACAUACAUACAUGAAGGAAUGAUUGCAUUAUCCACUCAUACUUACAUACAUACAUGAAGGAAAGGCAGGGAUUAUCGUAGAGGCUAUUCAUUCAGAUUAUAGAGGACACCCAGCAUAGAUCAUCACCUGUUUUGUUGUAAGGAGUAGACAUGUGCCUAUAAUUAGCAAGUGAAAUAGACUGUGUAGGUACUAGAUAUUGGUAGAUCCUUUAAGAUAUGGAGACAGGACGGCAAGAGAAGGAAUCGUUGAACAGAUGAAGAAAUAGGGAGAGGUGUGUGUCAGCCUAUUCCAUCAAGAUUAUGAAUAAUGUUAUCUUACUGUAUGUUGGGUGACCUUGCACAACUCCUAAGCAGUGUAUUUCCUUUACAUCACACGCUUGUCGAGAGAUUACAGAGGUGACUUAUGCUUGACUGUUUAAGCUGAAUUGUGAUUUGUCUUUCCCUCCUGCCAUUCACCUUUACAUUAUACACAAUCUUUACCUUUUACUUCCCAUUCUCUACUUAUAUACUUGUAAUAUUUUCAGUUAUUCUAUUGUUUUCUAGUCAACUAAAUACCCUCUUAAAUCAUAUAUCAAAUGUAUAUGUAUGAGUAUUUAUGUGUAUGAAAUCUAAUCAAACAAACUAAGUCAACAAGUUUAAUAGUUAGUUCAGUAGAGGCUGGUAUACCUAGAAAUAUUUUUCAAGGAUUAUGUUAGUUUUAGUAAUAUGAGUUACUACUGUGUUGGACAAACUUACUCUAAUGCUAUGUUAUUACUGGGAAAAAGGGGAUUUUUUUUUUUUAAACCAACCACCAUGAACCAACCUGAUGUCCGGGCUGGUUCAUAUUGCUCUGACCUUGGUUAGUCUCAGAACUGAUCUUUAUUAUUUAAUGUUUUAGAUUGCCUGUAGGUUGUUUCAUUUGUUUAACAAUUUACACUCCAUAAGACUUCUUGAUCCACAUCCUCAUUGGGUCUUCUAUCCAAACAAAUGGCAAAAAAACCCAAAUACUGUAAAUGAGUAAUAUUAUAUUGCUGCUAUAGAUGGAAAAAUGAAGACUACUGCACCUGAUCCUUUAAUAAUGAUAUAUAAGGACUUGGAUUCUUGUAUUAUCAUGUCACUUAUACUCUGAGUUUACCAAUACCUGUAUUUGUACUCAUUUCAGUUAGUGUCUCUCUUCAAGUGUUUUCUCAAAUGAUAUGAAUAUCAAUUGUUAUUAGAUAUGAUGCUCAUUUUUUAUUAUUAUUAUUACAGAUUAUAGUUGUAUAUGUUAACUCCAUGACACUCCCAAUUUACUCUCAGGUUAGGAAAUACUGUACCUGUACGAGCCAUGACACACCUAAGGGUCUGAAUUUUCUUGCCAUUCUUUUUAUUUACCUGAUGGGGUUUACUUUAAGAUGUCAUGAACCCCUGUUGUUUGAACCUGUGAUAUGAGGCAUUAUUAUUACAUACCAUGAACCCUUUUAUGAGGUUUAGUUUUCCAUGUUAACUUUCUUAGGGUCUUUAUGGUAUUUUAAAAAGUGAUCAAGCUUGAGGUAGCAGCGCCGUGAUCAAGCUUGAGGUAGCAGUGCCGUUAUCAAGCUUGAGGUAGCAGUGCCAUGUUACAAAUUUUAUGGGAUUUUUCUAUUUUUUUUUUAGCUAGUUUGUACACUUGGUUAGUGUUGCUAGACAAGCUAACCCUGACAUGACCCAACCUAACUUAACUUAACACAACCUAACUUAACCUAACACAACCUAACUUAACCUAACACAACCUAACUUAACCUAACACAACCUUAUCAUGUUUUUAUACAUUUCCAGGGCAUUAUUAUUAUCUUAACUCCAUUAGUAACUAUUAUACAUUCCUGUUGGGCAUGUUUGAAGCUGCACUGUAUUCUCAAGAUAUAGACAUUGAAGCACCCGUACUCUCCGUACUCUCACAUGAAUAAUAGAGGAAGAUGUAAGUGAUAUCUCCGUUAGCUGGAACUAUUGGUGCAGAACACUUCCGGGAAUGAGAGAUUUCCGGGUAACAAGACGACUCUCAAAGCUGGAAAAAAUCCCUCGUCCCCGGAAUUUUCAAGGUAACGGAAAAAUAGUCUCGGAAGUUCCUGAAUGAUGCAUUAUUUCAUCUCUCAAAGCCGUAAAAAAAAUCCCCCAUCCUCGGAAUUUUCUGAGUACGUACUGGGAAAAUUUUUUCAGAAUUUUCCAGAAAAUUUAAAUUCCAGCCAUCGGAGAGUUCCGGGUUUGAGGGAUUCCGGCUAACAGAGAUAUUACUACUACUGUAUAUUAUUUGUAUUACAACUGUAGGAUGUGAGUAGGGGUCCUUUCUGGGUGUAGGACAUGAGCAGGGGUCCUUUCUGGGUGUAGGACGUGAGCAGGGGUCCUUUCUUGGCAUUUUGUAAACACAGCUCUCCUGCCAGUUCUGUCUCUGUCAUUGAGGUGGUUCUCAGACAUUAACUAUCACCAGACAAUUCAUCACUGGUUUAGUGUAAACUUAACCUAACCUUACCUAAACCAUGGAUUCAUCGCCCCCAAGGCAUUAUCUAAAUUGAAUAAAUAUAACACGGUAUUCAAUAGACCAUUGACGAAUUGUCUGAUGACUAAAUGUCCGUCCAGCCAUUGACGUUGUUGUGUGCCUUGAUCCAUCCUACACAAAAAUUUAGCAAAGUGGUGAAGAUAAUAGAUUGUGCAAUUUGAAGUGGCAUUGAAUUUUUUUUUGCCAUAAUGUACAAUAGUAAAAAGUAGUACAUAAUAUCUUGCCAUAGUGUAAUUUAAAAUAUCAAUGGUGUAAUUUAGGAUGACAACCAUACUAUAAUUUAAAAUGUCACUGAAUCUUAUGUGACCAACUGCUUUAUAUCCAUGACACAGCUAAGAUUUCCAACCCACAGUCAUUACAUUAUAAAGCUGUAACAGAGAAGCAAAUGUUCUUGCAUAUACUCUACAACUUCUUUUACCCAUGAUAUAUUGUAUAAAGGUCAUAAUGAUUUGUGUCUAUAUAUUAUUAUUGGACUCGCCUAAUUUAAUAGCAUCAGCUAGGUAGUAUAUUAAAUAUUUUGUUUCUUCUUGUCCUUUGUGAAAAUUCAGUGAUUGUUUGUUAGGAUCUUUCACUGGAUGCACAGUUUUGUUUUUUAUUCGAGAAGCUUAAAUGAUUGAUAUAUGUAGUGUAUAAAUUUAAUAUGAGAGCCCUUGAUGAUUAUUACCUGUAAGGACGUGUAGUAAACAAGAACAUAAAAAUCAUUAGCAAUAAAAUCUGAUCAUAUCAUUGCUAGGACCAUAGAUGUUCUUCGCUGUAUUAAGACUUUAUUUUGACUAACUUUUAUGUUCCUGUUUACUGCACGCCCUUAAGGAUAGUAAUCAUUAAGGGUUCUCAAGUUAAAAACAAGUCCCCUGUAUUUUAAUACUGUAGUGUAUGGUUUGCUAGCAUUUUAACAUAUAUUAAGAGAUCUUUCUUUUAUGAGGAAUAUAUCUGUACAGCACUGCUCACCAUGCUAAUUGUGUGGGGACAACUGUAGCUAUAACUCAAUAAGCUGUAGAGAUGAACUGUAUACAUGUAACUUUAAUUAAUACUAUAAGAAUUUGUAAUUCCUUCUUCCUACUUAUUGAUUUAUCUUAAGAAAAAUAAAUAUAUCUAUAUCCA
Molecule: unclassified non-coding RNA, 5534 nt
Filed under: Homarus americanus (American lobster)
Lineage: Eukaryota; Metazoa; Arthropoda; Malacostraca; Decapoda; Nephropidae
Description: acid ceramidase-like, transcript variant X1
Source: RNAcentral